Molecule: non-coding RNA, 662 nt
Organism: Paramuricea clavata
Lineage: Eukaryota; Metazoa; Cnidaria; Anthozoa; Malacalcyonacea; Plexauridae
Source: the annotation of a GenBank genome assembly
UUCACAAGUCAUUCACAACAUUCGCAUCCGUGUUGUAUCGGAUAUACAAACUCGAGCCGACGUUUGUAUAUCCGAUACAACACGGCUGCUCAUGCUCUAAAUAUAUUGGCUGCACCAAAUAUGCCGUAUCAACCAAUGGUUGUUGUAUCGGAUAUACAAACUACCUCGUAGCUCAGUUGGUAGAGCAUUGGACUAGCAAACCAAAGCUCACGGGUUCGAUUCCCACUGCGGUCAAACAAACUUUUCAGCUUGCCCCGGUGUGGACACGCUCAGAGACAACAUCACAAACAUAUAUUUUCACCUGAGUACAUAACACCGGUCACCAGAAACAAGAAUUUAAUGCUAACAAAUUUCCAGAAAAAUUGAGUCGGGUUUUGGUGGAAAACAUCACUGAUCUGAAAUAAGACUGGAUAAAGCGUCCUAUUGAAUUCAGUAAUCCGAUUUUGAAGCCAGAAUAUUUUAAUCAGUCAAAUAAAUCAGUCAAAUUCAUGGCAGUAAACUCGAGCCGAAGGCGACUGGUUUGUAUAUCAGAUAAAGAUCGGAUGCGAAUGUUUUUAACGUGCUUAAAAACGACCCAUCUUAUAGUUCAUUGGCGAAGUAAUUUUAAAAAUAAACAUUGUCUAAGCCGAGAAAAUCAAAGCUGAAGUUUAUGUAAAUCAGGA